Molecule: ribosomal RNA, 658 nt
Filed under: Salmonella enterica subsp. enterica serovar Typhimurium
Lineage: Bacteria; Pseudomonadati; Pseudomonadota; Gammaproteobacteria; Enterobacterales; Enterobacteriaceae
Description: partial 23S ribosomal RNA
Rfam family: Bacterial large subunit ribosomal RNA
Source: RNAcentral
UGAAGGUUGGGUAACACUAACUGGAGGACCGAACCGACUAAUGUUGAAAAAUUAGCGGAUGACCUGUGGCUGGGGGUGAAAGGCCAAUCAAACCGGGAGAUAGCUGGUUCUCCCCGAAAGCUAUUUAGGUAGCGCCUCGUGAAUUCAUCUCCGGGGGUAGAGCACUGUUUCGGCUAGGGGGCCAUCCCGGCUUACCAACCCGAUGCAAACUGCGAAUACCGGAGAAUGUUAUCACGGGAGACACACGGCGGGUGCUAACGUCCGUCGUGAAGAGGGAAACAACCCAGACCGCCAGCUAAGGUCCCAAAGUCAUGGUUAAGUGGGAAACGAUGUGGGAAGGCCCAGACAGCCAGGAUGUUGGCUUAGAAGCAGCCAUCAUUUAAAGAAAGCGUAAUAGCUCACUGGUCGAGUCGGCCUGCGCGGAAGAUGUAACGGGGCUAAACCAUGCACCGAAGCUGCGGCAGCGAACGUAUCACCCAAGACAACUUUACGGAGUUGACGAUUGACGGAGCGAAGCGACGUCAAAGCGUUCAUUAAAGUCGAGUUGGCUUAGGGAUACGUUCGUUGGGUAGGGGAGCGUUCUGUAAGCCUGUGAAGGUGUGUCGUGAGGCAUGCUGGAGGUAUCAGAAGUGCGAAUGCUGACAUAAGUAACGAUAAA